This 252-nucleotide ribosomal RNA is filed under the name uncultured bacterium. Its description in RNAcentral is "partial 16S ribosomal RNA". It matches the Rfam family "Bacterial small subunit ribosomal RNA", at positions 524 to 775 of the family's 1533-position model. The record is from RNAcentral.
UACGUAGGGUGCAAGCGUUAAUCGGAAUUACUGGGCGUAAAGCGUGCGCAGGCGGUUUUGUAAGUCUGUCGUGAAAUCCCCGAGCUUAACUUGGGAAUUGCGAUGGAGACUGCAAGGCUGGAGUCUGGCAGAGGGGGGUAGAAUUCCACGUGUAGCAGUGAAACGCGUAGAGAUGUGGAGGAACACCGAUGGCGAAGGCAGCCCCCUGGGUCAAGACUGACGCUCAUGCACGAAAGCGUGGGGAGCAAACAG